Molecule: ribosomal RNA, 464 nt
Filed under: Betaproteobacteria bacterium
Lineage: Bacteria; Pseudomonadati; Pseudomonadota; Betaproteobacteria
Description: bacterial SSU rRNA
Rfam family: Bacterial small subunit ribosomal RNA
Source: RNAcentral
CAUGCAGUCGGACGGCAGCAUAAAAGAGCUUGCUCUUUUGAUGGCGAGUGGCGAACGGGUGAGUAAUGCAUCGGAACGUACCGAGUAGUGGGGGAUAACUGUCCGAAAGGAUGGCUAAUACCGCAUAUUCUCUGAGGAGGAAAGCAGGGGACCUUAGGGCCUUGCGCUAUUUGAGCGGCCGAUGUCUGAUUAGCUAGUUGGUGGGGUAAGAGCCCACCAAGGCGACGAUCAGUAGCGGGUCUGAGAGGAUGAUCCGCCACACUGGGACUGAGACACGGCCCAGACUCCUACGGGAGGCAGCAGUGGGGAAUUUUGGACAAUGGGCGCAAGCCUGAUCCAGCCAUGCCGCGUGUAUGAAGAAGGCCUUCGGGUUGUAAAGUACUUUUGUCAGGGAAGAAAAGCCUGAGGAUAACACCCUCAGGUCAUGACGGUACCUGAAGAAUAAGCACCGGCUAACUACGUGC